Molecule: long non-coding RNA, 549 nt
Filed under: Mytilus galloprovincialis (Mediterranean mussel)
Lineage: Eukaryota; Metazoa; Mollusca; Bivalvia; Mytilida; Mytilidae
Source: RNAcentral
CAUGCGCAGAGGACUACAACCAUCAUUGCGACAUAGAUCAAUGUUAGGAUUUCUCUCUAACAACAACUUUACUAUUUCAGUAUGUCCGUUCUGACUUGCCAUGUACAGUGGACUACAGCCAUUAUUGUUACAAAGAUCAAUGUUAGGAUUCUUCUCUAACAACAACUUUACUAUUUCGGUAUUUCCAUUCUGACUUGCAAUGAAUAGAGGACUACAUCCAUCCUUUUGACAUAGAUAAAUAUUAGGUUUCCUCUCUAACAACAACUUUACUAUUUCAGUAUGUCCAUUCUGACUUGCAAAAUACAGUCCAGUAACCCCAUUGUCUCGACAUUGAUUCACAUCCACAUCAUUGUGUAACAUCCACUGUACCAUAUCAGUAUAACCAGCAAAACAAGUCUGUAUCAGCGGAGUAGUACCCGAUCCAUGGUGCUCUUUUGAUAAUACUGUGUCACAUUUAUUAGCUAAUGUGACUUGAAGUGAUUUGUCCAGAAGUUGCAAGUGCUUUAACAGCUGUUGUCUAAAUUCUGAAACUGUCAAAUUACUGUUCAU